UACGAGGGGGGCGAGCGUUGUUCGGAUUCACUGGGCGUAAAGGGUGCGUAGGUGGUGAGGUAAGUCGGAUGUGAAAUCUCCGAGCUCAACUCGGAAAUGGCAUUGGAAACUACCUUGCUCGAGGGUUGGAGGGGGGACUGGAAUACUUGGUGUAGCAGUGAAAUGCGUAGAUAUCAAGUGGAACACCAGUGGCGAAGGCGAGUCCCUGGACAACUCCUGACACUGAGGCACGAAAGCUAGGGGAGCAAACAGG
Molecule: ribosomal RNA, 253 nt
Filed under: uncultured bacterium
Lineage: Bacteria
Description: partial 16S ribosomal RNA
Rfam family: Bacterial small subunit ribosomal RNA
Source: RNAcentral